This is a long non-coding RNA of Leucoraja erinaceus (little skate), 2052 nucleotides long. RefSeq lists it as uncharacterized. The record is from RefSeq and is a predicted model, not a curated record. Lineage: Eukaryota; Metazoa; Chordata; Chondrichthyes; Rajiformes; Rajidae. The transcript has 3 exons.
GCACAUAUUAAUAUUAAAGAUAUCUGUUUUAUUUUUGCUGAUAUCUGUUAACGAUGUCCUGGACUUUUAACUUUAUUGUCCGAUCAGGCUGCCUGUUAAAUGUGCAAUUUAGUUAUUAAACAAGACAGAUUCCUUUCCACGCCCCUAACGAUAGAUAGAUUGAAGGCUAAAUUCUCUAGGAAUUAGCCUUUAUAUUUUUGAAUGAACGAGACGCGAAAUUGGUGCCACAGACAAAUGGACUCAUCGUUAAUAUGUAUUUGAGCGUGGUCUAAAAGGCUGGGGCACGUUGAUUACGCUGCACCUGCAGAGAUGGAGAGAAACGUGAUUUCCAAGAAGAAGGGGGUGAGGAAGAGGGACUCGCUGCAGAGGCGGAAGAAUUUCUUUUUGUUUCCCCUUUUGGUGGUGAAUGACGUCAGUGUGCUGAGUCACGCGGGCGCGCUCCCGCGGCCCGAGCAAUGGUGUACAACCUUUUAUCCGGAGUUCCGGAAACCGAAAAGCUCCGAAAACCGGACAUUUUUUCCAGGAUGUCGUCUGCACACCAAAGCUCGCGUUUGGCGCCAAACUUGACCCGAAACGACCCACGGUCAACCCAGGAAGCAGUUGAAUGAAUGAUGAGAAAGUAUACACCUGCUCCAGUCCCCUACUGAGAUCCAGUUAAUUAUAGUAAUUCAGUAUGGAAACAGGCCUUCAGCUCAACUUGCCAAUACCAACUGAUGUGCGAGGUCUACAAAAUUGGAGCUAAACCUGCUCCAUUACCAACUGCAUCAACCUCAUCAAGAUAUGUAUAAAUGAAGACGUACCGAGAGAUUUUAGAGACUCACCAAUCUACAAAAGGAAAGGCGUUCGAUCUGACUGCGGAAACUAUCGUGGAAUUUCCCUAUUAGCAACAGCAGGCAAAGUCCUCGCUCGUAUCAUGAACAUCCGACUCAAGCCUUUAGCCGAGAAGAUCCUUCCAGAGACACAAGCGGUUUUAGACCAUCAAAUGGAACAGCCGACAUGAUCUUCACAAUGCGUCAACUACAAGAAAAAUGUUGUGAACAACUUCAACCUUUGUACAUGGCAUUAAUCGACCUCACUGAGGCCUUCGACUCGGUAUAAAGGGAACUCUUAUGGGACGUCCUAUCUACCUUUGGAUGUCCUGAAAAGUACAUUUGUAUCCUGAGACUCCUCCACGAUGACAUGCUUGACACAGUCAUGGCCAGCAACAGCAACUGUGAGCCGUUUCAAGUCAGGUCAGGAGUGAAACAGGGAUGUGUGAUUGCCCAACACUGUUCACCAUCUUCUUUGCGACAACCAUCCACAUCAUCCAGGAUGACCUACCCCCAGGAAUUUAAAUUGUCUACAGAACAGAUGGCAGACUUUUCAAUCUUGCCCAUCUCAAAUCCAAAACUAAGACAUCUAUGAGCUCGAGUUCCAAUAAGCAGACGACAACUGUGUUGCAGCUCUCUCCGAAAAUCAUCUGCAACAGAUUCUGACUGCCUUCAACGGUGCAUACAGGAAACUUGGACUUACCAUCAACUCCAAGAAGACUCAGGUUAUCUACCAAUUGCCACCAACUGAGACAAAUCGGAAAGAACCGUCAAUUCAACUUGGUGAAACAACCCUGGAAAAUGUGGAUCACUUUCCGUAACUUGGUCAACUCUCCUCCAAUGUCGACCUUGAUGACGAGACCCAACAUCGUCUUAAGUGUGCUGGAACAGCUUUUCGACGUCUUCGAACGAGUCUUUCAAAAUUGUGGUAUCCGAAUAGACACCAAAAUGUUAGUGUACAAGGCAGUGGUGAUUCCAAUGCUCCUGAAUGCAUCAGAAACCUGGACAUCAUACCGACACCAUCUGAAAACACUUGAAAAGUUCCAUCAACGAUGUCUUCGAAGCAGCUUAAAUAUCAGUUGGGAAGACCGAAGAACUAACGUCAGCAUGCUGAAUGAAGCAAAAACAUCUAGCAUCAAAGCCUUUGCCAUCAAGAACCAACUAAGAUGGGUCAGUCAUGUUGUUCUGAUGGAAGACGAGCUCUACCAAAACAAACCUUCUACUCCCAGCUUAAAGAUGGCAA